This 76-nucleotide transfer RNA is filed under the name Desulfobacterales bacterium. RNAcentral describes it as "tRNA-Ala". It matches the Rfam family "tRNA". Rfam says of the family: Transfer RNA (tRNA) molecules are approximately 80 nucleotides in length. Their secondary structure includes four short double-helical elements and three loops (D, anti-codon, and T loops). RNAcentral also lists the same sequence under 1 other name. The record is from RNAcentral. Lineage: Bacteria; Pseudomonadati; Thermodesulfobacteriota; Desulfobacteria; Desulfobacterales.
GGGGAUGUAGCUCAGCUGGGAGAGCGGCGCGUUCGCAACGCGCAGGUCGGGGGUUCGAAUCCCCUCAUCUCCACCA